AAACUGAAAGUAGAACAAAUGGACACGUGACCACCCAAUAUUUAGGUUGUGACUCCCAGCUGGCGUGACUCUGAGCUAAGUGCUUUUGCUACAAUCACAUACAGAAGGUUUCAAGUUGCUUGAAGCUACUCAGUGGUGAAAGUGAACUCCCUGAUGCACAGGACUCUGGAAUGAGCUCUAGCUUCAUGUCUUUAGUUCAAACAUAAAGAAAUAAGAAGAUUAUCUGCCACUGCUGAAAUGGAGGAGAGAAGGCUGACAUCUCCCACUCUCACUGUCUUCCAUGCAUUGCUACAUCCUGAAUGGGAUGCCUAGGGGCCUCCCAGCUAACUGGACGUGUAAAUAAGAGUUUUAGAU
This 354-nucleotide long non-coding RNA is filed under the name Homo sapiens (human). Its description in RNAcentral is "HSALNT0052399". Lineage: Eukaryota; Metazoa; Chordata; Mammalia; Primates; Hominidae. The record is from RNAcentral.